Molecule: long non-coding RNA, 1882 nt
Organism: Eriocheir sinensis (Chinese mitten crab)
Lineage: Eukaryota; Metazoa; Arthropoda; Malacostraca; Decapoda; Varunidae
Exons: 5
Source: RefSeq, a predicted model, not a curated record
UUAGCUAUCAUUUUCACGACUCGAGGGGGUACUUACGUGUGACUCCUUGGCUGUUAUGUCUUGUGGUUUCGUGUUGUGUUGGAACCUUCACCACCAUCACCACCACGACCACAGCAAGUCCAAGGUUCGUUCUUGGUCAGUGGUUUGGAGCCUCGCGCCGUGGUGUGAGUCCUCGUGUGUCUCAGUCGGCGCCGCAGGGUCGGGGAGUAGCUCAAACCACCUUACGCCGGUCGUUUCUGUCCAGCACGGAGGGAGGCAGCGACCAGAAGCCGGGGAAAAAGUAAAGAAACCAGCUCAAGGGGAAAAAUAAUGAGAGAGAGAAAAGCCCGCUAAUCACCGCUCCUACAUAAGAAAGUACAGAUGAGUGGCCAAAAGAGACGUCGAUUUCGGAUGAUGAUCUCCACUGAUAGUUCGUAAAUAGUGAUAAUGAUCUCUCACGGGCGGACGUGGCUGAGGCGUUCAAUACGAGUUCUUAAGGGAAUGGACGCCCAGGAUGCAUUCAGCUCUUAUUGGCAGACGUGAAGGCGGUCGUUGUGGUGAAGUUGGUGGGAGUGGCUCGCGGACUGUUGGGUUCUGCGAGCAACUUGGCAAGGGAUGAGAUGGAAGGAAUCGGCGGCCGUGUGUGGAGGUGCCGUGUGUGGAGGUGUAUAGAGGAGGCUGAGAGGAAGGAAACAGGGGAUGAGGAGGCGAAGAGCAGAGGUGUAGGGGAAGGAGAUGGGGAACAGGAAUGGUGGAGACGAUAAGGAAGGGAAGUGAAUUUGGGGGAACUGAAGUGGAGGCGAAGAGGAGAGGUGGAGGAGAUGUGGAAGGGAAGAGGAAGGAUGGAUGAACUGAAAACUUUAGGUGGUGAAGGAAGGUAGAGGAUAUUUUGUUUUGUUUUGCGUUAAUGUAGUUGUGAACUGUAGUGCAAUGACUGUAUUUUCCUAGUUACUGAAUUAUGAACGUGUGUUAGUGACGGAAUCGGACAAGGAGUGAUGGGAAGGAACUACUCACGCUGGAGGUUUUCUAUGACUGAGAACGGUGGCGGAGAGAAGGGAGGGGGGACGCUGGGAAAGGUCUAGGGGUAAGUCUAGAAGGAGAGGAAGAGGGAUGGGGGUAGGCGACGUAUUUCCCGGGUCCAUUGAUCACUAUGAUGAAUGGGGUGAGCAGUGAGGGAGCGGAGUCAGGGCCGAGGGUGCUGAGUAACGAAUAUAGGUCGGGAAGUAAGAGGAUUGGGCCUAAGAGCUAAGAAGAUUGAGCUGGAAAUGAGAGGCUGGGGAGAAAGUGGUUUGUGAUGAGCGUCAAGUGAGGGGUGAAGGCAUGAGUGUUAGGUGAAGUGAGGGGAGGAGGAGGUAGUAGAGGGCCCGGGAUGGGAUUUGUAGCACAGAACAAUAAAGUAAUGUUUUUUUAGUCGUUAUCAUCCCUUGUUUUACGUGAAGAGUAAGGGGAUGAAGAGCUCUAGUAGAAGAAUAAGUUAAUGCUCUUUUGCGGGUAUUAUUCCUUAGCUUAUGUAAAGAGUGAAGGGAGGAGGAGAUAGUACAGGGGACAAAAUGGGACUUGUAGCACAGAACAAUAAAGUAAUGUUUUUGAGGGUAUUGUUUUUCAUUUAACGAUUUAUAUAGGGGUUGUGAAAUGAAAAAAAGGCGCAGAUAACCUAAACAAACGCACAUACAGACGAAAAUAUAAUAAUAAACAUGACUUUUCUUCCUCUCGCGCACACGCUCAGAAGGAAAGGAAAAGAAGCCAAGAGAGAGAGAGAAAAAAAUGUUUACCAACUUAACAAACAUGUUUCUUCACUUGGAGACGUGGCGUGUCACCUUAACUUUUUUACGAGGGGGUCCGUUUGUCGUUUAACAGAAUAAUUACAUUAGAACGACGGCUCUCGGGAAUAACGAGGCUUAAC